UGGGGAAUAUUGCGCAAUGGGCGAAAGCCUGACGCAGCGACGCCGCGUGAGGGAUGAAGGUCUUCGGAUCGUAAACCUCUGUCAGCAGGGAAGAAACUUUAGUGUGCUAAUCAGCAUUAAAUUGACGGUACCUGCAAAGGAAGCACCGGCUAACUCCGUGCCAGCAGCCGCGGUAAUACGGAGGGUGCGAGCGUUAAUCGGAAUUACUGGGCGUAAAGCGCUCGUAGGUGGUAUGUCAAGUCAAGGGUGAAAUCCCCGCGCUCAACGUGGGAACUGCCUUUGAAACUGGCAGACUGGAGUGUGUGAGAGGAUAGUGGAAUUUCCCAGGUGUAGGAGUGAAAUCCGUAGAUAUCUGGAGGAACAUCAGUGGCGAAGGCGACUAUCUGGCACAUAACUGACACUGAGGAGCGAAGCGUGGGUAGCAAACAGGAUUAGAUACC
Molecule: ribosomal RNA, 440 nt
Filed under: uncultured bacterium
Lineage: Bacteria
Description: bacterial SSU rRNA
Rfam family: Bacterial small subunit ribosomal RNA
Source: RNAcentral